CGGAGGAUGCGAGCGUUAUCCGGAUUUAUUGGGUUUAAAGGGUGCGUAGGCGGGCUUUUAAGUCAGCGGUAAAAAUUCGGGGCUCAACCCCGUCCGGCCGUUGAAACUGGGGGCCUUGAGUGGGCGAGAAGAAGGCGGAAUGCGUGGUGUAGCGGUGAAAUGCAUAGAUAUCACGCAGAACCCCGAUUGCGAAGGCAGCCUUCCGGCGCCCUACUGACGCUGAGGCACGAAAGUGCGGGGAUCGAA
This 246-nucleotide ribosomal RNA is filed under the name uncultured bacterium. RNAcentral describes it as "partial 16S ribosomal RNA". It matches the Rfam family "Bacterial small subunit ribosomal RNA", at positions 526 to 772 of the family's 1533-position model. The record is from RNAcentral.